This 529-nucleotide ribosomal RNA is filed under the name uncultured bacterium. RNAcentral's name for it is "bacterial SSU rRNA". It matches the Rfam family "Bacterial small subunit ribosomal RNA", at positions 322 to 842 of the family's 1533-position model. The record is from RNAcentral.
AGACACGGCCCAAACUCCUACGGGAGGCAGCAGUAGGGAAUCUUCCACAAUGGGCGAAAGCCUGAUGGAGCAACGCCGCGUGAGUGAAGAAGGUUUUCGGAUCGUAAAGCUCUGUUGCUGGUGAAGAAGGAUAGAGGUAGUAACUGGCCCCUAUUUGACGGUAAUCAACCAGAAAGUCACGGCUAACUACGUGCCAGCAGCCGCGGUAAUACGUAGGUGGCAAGCGUUGUCCGGAUUUAUUGGGCGUAAAGCGAGCGCAGGCGGAAAGAUAAGUCUGAUGUGAAAGCCCCCGGCUUAACCGAGGAAUUGCAUCGGAAACUGUGUUUCUUGAGUGCAGAAGAGGAGAGUGGAACUCCAUGUGUAGCGGUGGAAUGCGUAGAUAUAUGGAAGAACACCAGUGGCGAAGGCGGCUCUCUGGUCUGUAACUGACGCUGAGGCUCGAAAGCAUGGGUAGCGAACAGGAUUAGAUACCCUGGUAGUCCAUGCCGUAAACGAUGAGUGCUAAGUGUUGGGAGGUUUCCGCCUCUCA